RNAcentral lists this ribosomal RNA (253 nucleotides) under uncultured bacterium. Its description in RNAcentral is "partial 16S ribosomal RNA". It matches the Rfam family "Bacterial small subunit ribosomal RNA", at positions 524 to 776 of the family's 1533-position model. The record is from RNAcentral.
UACGUAGGUGGCAAGCGAUGUCCGGAUUUACUGGGCGUAAAGAGCGCGCAGGCGGUCGUUCAAGUCGCGUGUGAAAGCCCCCGGCUCAACUGGGGAGGGUCACGCGAUACUGAUCGACUCGAAGGCAGGAGAGGGUAGUGGAAUUCCCGGUGUAGUGGUGAAAUGCGUAGAUAUCGGGAGGAACACCAGUGGCGAAGGCGACUACCUGGCCUGUUCUUGACGCUGAGGCGCGAAAGCUAGGGGAGCAAACGGG